RNAcentral lists this ribosomal RNA (574 nucleotides) under Luxilus chrysocephalus (striped shiner). RNAcentral's name for it is "partial large subunit ribosomal RNA". It matches the Rfam family "Bacterial large subunit ribosomal RNA", at positions 1816 to 2597 of the family's 2925-position model. Lineage: Eukaryota; Metazoa; Chordata; Actinopteri; Cypriniformes; Leuciscidae. The record is from RNAcentral.
CGCCUCCUGCAGCAUAAAGUAUAGGAGGUCCAGCCUGCCCAGUGACUACGGGUUCAACGGCCGCGGUAUAUUGACCGUGCAAAGGUAGCGCAAUCACUUGUCUUUUAAAUAGAGACCUGUAUGAAUGGCUAGACGAGGGCUUAACUGUCUCCCCCCUCCAGUCAGUGAAAUUGAUCUAUCCGUGCAGAAGCGGGUAUAAUACUACAAGACGAGAAGACCCUUUGGAGCUUAAGGUACAAAAUUCAGCCACGUUAAGCAACUCCUUAAGAAGCAAGAACUUAAUGGCCAUGAAGUUUUACCUUCGGUUGGGGCGACCACGGAGGAAAAGCAAGCCUCCGAGUGGACUGGGCCAACACCCCUAAAGCCAAAAGAGACAUCUUUAAGCCGCAGAAUAGCUGACCAAUAAGGAUCCGGCUAAAAAGCCGAUCAACGGACCAAGUUACCCUAGGGAUAACAGCGCAAUCCUCUCCCAGAGCCCAUAUCGACGAGGGGGUUUACGACCUCGAUGUUGGAUCAGGACAUCCUGGUGGUGCAGCCGCUAUUAAGGGUUCGUUUGUUCAACGAUUAAAGUCCU